CAGUCGCCACGGUAACACGUAGGGUGCAAGCGUUAAUCGGAAUUACUGGGCGUAAAGCGUGCGCAGGCGGUUUGUUAAGACAGAUGUGAAAUCCCCGGGCUCAACCUGGGAACUGCAUUUGUGACUGGCAAGCUAGAGUAUGGCAGAGGGGGGUGGAAUUCCGCGUGUAGCAGUGAAAUGCGUAGAUAUGCGGAGGAACACCGAUGGCGAAGGCAGCCCCCUGGGCCAAUACUGACGCUCAUGCACGAAAGCGUGGGGAGCAAACAGGAUUAGAUACCCCAGUAGUCCCUGUCUCUUAUAC
This 301-nucleotide ribosomal RNA is filed under the name uncultured bacterium. RNAcentral's name for it is "partial 16S ribosomal RNA". It matches the Rfam family "Bacterial small subunit ribosomal RNA", at positions 509 to 807 of the family's 1533-position model. The record is from RNAcentral.